Ailuropoda melanoleuca (giant panda) is the source of this 73-nucleotide non-coding RNA. NCBI's taxonomy places the organism in Eukaryota, Metazoa, Chordata, Mammalia, Carnivora, Ursidae. The record is from Rfam.
ACCUGGCUGGCUCAGUCAGGGGAGCACGUGACUCUGGAUCUCGGGGUCGUGAGUUCAAGCCCCAUGUUGGGUG